AGUGAACGCUGGCGGUAGGCCUAACACAUGCAAGUCGAACGGCAGCACAGUAAGAGCUUGCUCUUACGGGUUGCGAGUGGCGGACGGGUGAGGAAUACAUCGGAAUCUACUUUUUCGUGGGGGAUAACGUAGGGAAACUUACGCUAAUACCGCAUACGACCUACGGGUGAAAGCAGGGGAUCUUCGGACCUUGCGCGAUUGAAUGAGCCGAUGUCGGAUUAGCUAGUUGGCGGGGUAAAGGCCCACCAAGGCGACGAUCCGUAGCUGGUCUGAGAGGAUGAUCAGCCACACUGGAACUGAGACACGGUCCAGACUCCUACGGGAGGCCGCAGUGGGGAAUAUUGGACAAUGGGCGCAAGCCUGAUCCAGCCAUACCGCGUGGGUGAAGAAGGCCUUCGGGUUGUAAAGCCCUUUUGUUGGGAAAGAAAAGCAGCAGGUUAAUACCCCGCUGUUCUGACGGUACCCAAAGAAUAAGCACCGGCUAACUUCGUG
This 492-nucleotide ribosomal RNA is filed under the name uncultured bacterium. RNAcentral describes it as "partial 16S ribosomal RNA". It matches the Rfam family "Bacterial small subunit ribosomal RNA", at positions 29 to 507 of the family's 1533-position model. The record is from RNAcentral.